RNAcentral lists this ribosomal RNA (504 nucleotides) under uncultured bacterium. RNAcentral's name for it is "bacterial SSU rRNA". It matches the Rfam family "Bacterial small subunit ribosomal RNA", at positions 791 to 1296 of the family's 1533-position model. The record is from RNAcentral.
UAGUCCACGCCGUAAACGAUGUCAACUAGCCGUUGGGAGCAUAUAAGCUCUGAGUGGCGCAGCUAACGCGAUAAGUUGACCGCCUGGGGAGUACGCCGGCAACGGUAAAACUCAAAGGAAUUGACGGGGGCCCGCACAAGCGGUGGAGCAUGUGGUUUAAUUCGAUGCAACGCGAAAAACCUUACCUACCCUUGACAUCCUCAGAACUUGUUAGAGAUAACUUGGUGCCUUCGGGAACUGAGUGACAGGUGCUGCAUGGCUGUCGUCAGCUCGUAUCGUGAGAUGUUGGGUUAAGUCCCGCAACGAGCGCAACCCUCAUCCUUAGUUGCCAUCAUUUAGUUGGGCACUUUAAGGAAACUGCCGGUGAUAAGCCGGAGGAAGGUGGGGAUGACGUCAAGUCCUCAUGGCCCUUACAGGCUGGGCUACACACGUGCUACAAUGGUAUCUACAGUGAGCAGCGAUCCCGCGAGGGUUAGCUAAUCUCCAAAAGAUAUCUCAGUUCGG